Molecule: ribosomal RNA, 253 nt
Filed under: uncultured bacterium
Lineage: Bacteria
Description: partial 16S ribosomal RNA
Rfam family: Bacterial small subunit ribosomal RNA
Source: RNAcentral
UACGAAGGGGGCUAGCGUUGUUCGGAAUUACUGGGCGUAAAGCGCACGUAGGCGGACAUUUAAGUCAGAGGUGAAAUCCCGGAGCUCAACUUCGGAACUGCCUUUGAUACUGGGUGUCUUGAGUAUGGAAGAGGUUAGUGGAAUUGCGAGUGUAGAGGUGAAAUUCGUAGAUAUUCGCAGGAACACCAGUGGCGAAGGCGGCUAACUGGUCCAUAACUGACGCUGAGGUGCGAAAGCGUGGGGAGCAAACAGG